This is a long non-coding RNA of Mangifera indica (mango), 1957 nucleotides long. RefSeq lists it as uncharacterized. The transcript has 2 exons. The record is from RefSeq and is a predicted model, not a curated record. NCBI's taxonomy places the organism in Eukaryota, Viridiplantae, Streptophyta, Magnoliopsida, Sapindales, Anacardiaceae.
UUCAAGUUAAACCGAACUCAGCCGUUUCCGCGCCGUCUGCAGCUUAUUCUGCUUGCCCGUCCCUCUCCCCUCUCCCCUCUCCGAAAGAGGCCCCUCCUUGGAUAGUCACUGUUGAAAAAUCAAGCCAGGGGAAAACCCGGGUCCAGGAUCCCUACUCUAGCCGCCAUUUUGAAGAGCGCGUUCUUGAAAUGUUGCCCUAGUCAAUGAACUUGCUGGAAUAUCGUGUGCAGGAAAUCGGUAAGAGGUAUAGAAUUGAUUGGAUUCCUGAUGAACAUCCAAGGCAGUUUAGUGGGUGGAAGUAUAUUUUGUUGCAAAAAGUCAUCGUCUCUGCAGAUAACGAUGAAUUAGCAGUUAUGGUUUUUCUGAAUUUGGAGUUGAUGGUUUGGAGGAGCUGUGAUAAGAAAUGGGUCGACUUGGGUUGUGCCAAUGUUGAUGUUCAGGAUAUUGUUUAUUAUUAGAAGCAGUUUCAUGUAGUGAUGUCAGAUGGGCAUAUUUUAAGUGUUGAUUCGAAGUCUUUGGAGGUUAGUGAAGCUUUGCCUCUAUUGUUGAUACGUUUUACUUACAAAAGCUUCGUAAAUACAUCGAUUGAUUUGUAUUUGAUUAAAAAUCGCAGUAGUAGUGAUAAAAAAUUUGGAAAUAAAAGAAAUUUCUCUCCAGCUAGGGGUGAGAAAGUGGUUUUGAAUUCUGUUUUCUGUGUGUUUAAAAGAAGAACAAGAGUGGAUUGAAGUGAAGGAUUUGGAGGGUAAAGCAUUGUUUCUGUUUGAUGGAGGCAGCUUUUUUUUUUUUUUUGGCUAAAGACUUUUUGGAAUAAAACCAAAUUGUGUUUGUAUGGGUGAAACUGGUUUCUUUGGGGUUACAUAUGAUUUUCCUGGGAUGUAUACUUCAGUUUUUGACUUCAAUGACGGUAGUAACAAGUGGCUUGUAUCAUUUCCUGAAUCUUCAGAGAUAUUUUGGCCUCCACUAGUUUGGCUCUUUCCUGAAUUGGUGGAUUCUCAAGCUUUUGUGGCUUCAGUAUGUUCAGCCCUUGGUGCUUUUGCCAGCUUCUAUGUGGAUUUUUUCCAUGAUGCAUCUACUGAUUGUUCCCUGGAUUCUUACUCUAUCAAAUCUUUACUGAAUUGAAUCUUUUUCAUCAUUGUUUACAUACGAAGCAUUAUUUUGUUCCGAGUUUAAUGGAAAGGUCUGUUCUCAUAUUCACCUAGAAAAUUUUGCACUAUCUUUCCAGGUCACAUUCAUCAUAACUUUUUGUUCUCCUUAGUACUUCAACAAACGCCUGCAAUUGAGCUUUAUUAUUACAUGUUAGGUACUUGAAGAGCUUCUAUGGAUCGAUUCGAAGACAUUUUACCAAAGAAGUUCUGUGAUUAACUGCUUGUAGAGCAUUUUCAUUGUCAAUGUGAAGAUUUGAUAAACAGCUUGGUCAGACCAUGCCUGGAAUAUUUGUGAGUAUGUAUAUAUGCAUUAUGGAUCUUAAUGUUAUGAAACAAGAUUUAAGCUUAAUCAUUUAAGUCUCAUCUCCUGAUUAAGCCUUAGACUCCUUUAUAACAUCUCGCCUUCCUAUACUUUUUGAGCUGCUAAUAUUGUCCUGAUGAGCUUAGAGUCUUUCAAUUCAUUGUUAAGAGAAUUGAUAAUCUGGCCCAAGUAGGGUUACAAGAGUGGAGUUGCUCACAAGCUGUUUGUGGCUCGGUUGACAUCAAGCUUUAUUAUUACAUGUAAGGUACUUGAAGAGCUUCUAUGGAUCGAUUUGAAGACAUUUUAUUGAAGAAGUUUCUGGAAUCGACCACUUGAAGAGCGUUUCAUCGUCAAUGUGAAGAUUUGAUUAACAUAUUGGUCGGACCAUGCCCAGAAUAUUAAGAAUUCUAUUUUUAUUAGUUGGUAGUUAUGCUGUUUUUAAUUUGUGAGCAUGUAUAUAUGCAUUAUGGAUCUUACUGUUGUGAAAUAAGAUUUAAGCUUGAUCAUUUAA